GUGGGGAAUAUUGCGCAAUGGGCGAAAGCCUGACGCAGCGACGCCGCGUGAGGGAUGAAGGUUUUCGGAUCGUAAACCUCUGUCAGAAGGGAAGAAACUACAUUGUGCUAAUCAGCAGUGUACUGACGGUACCUUCAAAGGAAGCACCGGCUAACUCCGUGCCAGCAGCCGCGGUAAUAUGGAGGGUGCAAGCGUUAAUCGGAAUUACUGGGCGUAAAGCGCACGUAGGCUGUAGUGUAAGUCAGGGGUGAAAUCCCACGGCUCAACCGUGGAACUGCCUUUGAUACUGCACAACUUGAAUCCGGGAGAGGGUGGCGGAAUUCCAGGUGUAGGAGUGAAAUCCGUAGAUAUCUGGAGGAACAUCAGUGGCGAAGGCGGCCACCUGGACCGGUAUUGACGCUGAGGUGCGAAAGCGUGGGGAGCAAACAGGAUUAGAUACCCGGGUAGUCC
This 450-nucleotide ribosomal RNA is filed under the name uncultured bacterium. RNAcentral describes it as "partial 16S ribosomal RNA". It matches the Rfam family "Bacterial small subunit ribosomal RNA", at positions 354 to 796 of the family's 1533-position model. The record is from RNAcentral.